CCAACGGCUCUUUUAAGAGCCACCUACUUCUUCUCAAAAAGGGCUG
Molecule: regulatory RNA element, 46 nt
Organism: Amazona aestiva (blue-fronted amazon)
Lineage: Eukaryota; Metazoa; Chordata; Aves; Psittaciformes; Psittacidae
Rfam family: Histone 3' UTR stem-loop
About the family: The mRNAs of metazoan histone genes lack a poly-A tail.
Source: Rfam